UUAGGAAUAUUCGUCAAUGGGGGAAACCCUGAACGAGCAAUGCCGCGUGAGUGAUGAAGGUCCUCUGGAUUGUAAAACUCUUUUAUUAGGGACGAACGACUCGAAUAGGAAAUGAUUCGAGAGUGACUGUACCUUUUGAAUAAGCCCCGGCUAACUACGUGCCAGCAGCCGCGGUAAUACGUAGGGGGCGAGCGUUAUCCGGAUUUAUUGGGUGUAAAGCGUGUGUAGGCGGUUUCUUAAGUCCAAGGUUCAAGGCUGAAGCUCAACUUCAGUUUGCCUAGGAAACUGGGUCACUUGAGUAUGGUAGAGGCAAAUGGAAUUUCUAGUGUAGCGGUAGAAUGCGUAGAUAUUAGAAGGAACACCAGUGGCGAAGGCGAUUUGCUGGGCCAUUACUGACGCUGAGACACGAAAGCGUGGGGAGCAAAUAGG
This 429-nucleotide ribosomal RNA is filed under the name uncultured bacterium. RNAcentral describes it as "bacterial SSU rRNA". It matches the Rfam family "Bacterial small subunit ribosomal RNA", at positions 355 to 776 of the family's 1533-position model. The record is from RNAcentral.